AGAAUCAACGCUGGCGGCGUGCCUAACACAUGCAAGUCGAACGAGAAAGUGGAGCAAUCCAUGAGUAAAGUGGCGACCGGGUGAGUAACACGUGACUAACCUACCUUCGAGUGGGGGAUAACCUCGGGAAAACCGAGGCUAAUACCGCAUAACAUCGCAAGAUCAAAGCAGCAAUGCGCUGGAAGAGGGGGUCGCGGCUGAUUAGCUAGUUGGCGGGUAACGCCCACAAGGCGAAGAUCGGUAGCCGGCCUGAGAGGGCGCACGGCCACACUGGAACUGAAACACGGUCCAGACUCCUACGGGAGGCAGCAGUGGGGAAUUUUGCGCAAUGGGGGAAACCCUGACGCAGCAACGCCGCGUGGAGGAUGAAGCCCCUUGGGGCGUAAACUCCUUUCGACCAAGACGAUAAUGACGGUACUGGUGGAAGAAGCACCGGCUAACUCUGCGCCAGCAGCCGC
Molecule: ribosomal RNA, 458 nt
Filed under: uncultured bacterium
Lineage: Bacteria
Description: SSU rRNA
Rfam family: Bacterial small subunit ribosomal RNA
Source: RNAcentral